AUUGAACGCUGGCGGCAGGCCUAACACAUGCAAGUCGAGCGGAUGAAGGGAGCUUGAUCCUGGAUUCAGCGGCGGACGGGUGAGUAAUGCCUAGGAAUCUGCCUGGUAGUGGGGGAUAACGUCCGGAAACGGGCGCUAAUACCGCAUACGUCCUGAGGGAGAAAGUGGGGGAUCUUCGGACCUCACGCUAUCAGAUGAGCCUAGGUCGGAUUAGCUAGUUGGUGGGGUAAAGGCCUACCAAGGCGACGAUCCGUAACUGGUCUGAGAGGAUGAACAGUCACACUGGAACUGAGACACGGUCCAGACUCCUACGGGAGGCACGAGUGGGGUAUAUUGGACAAGGGGCGAAAGCAUGAUCCAGCCAUGCCGCGUGUGUGAAGAAGGUCUUUGGAUUGUAAAGCACUUUUAGUUGGGAGGAAGGGCAGUAAGAUAAUACCUUGCUGUUUUGACGUUACCAACAGAAUAAGCACCGGCUAACUUCGUG
Molecule: ribosomal RNA, 484 nt
Filed under: uncultured bacterium
Lineage: Bacteria
Description: partial 16S ribosomal RNA
Rfam family: Bacterial small subunit ribosomal RNA
Source: RNAcentral